GUAAAAUUUAUUUUUGUUUCAAAUAUCGAAAAACUUGGCAUGAAUAAAGUUUUAUGCUGUCCUGCACUAUAGACACAAUUUCACUAGAACUCUAUUGCAUAUCAGAAAAUACCCAUCACUGGAAGUUAACCAAUCAAAUAUUCACCCUUUUUUCCAUUGUAGUAACAACGUAACCUCAAGUUACUAAAAAUUUCUAGAGGAACACCAAACAAAAAAUAACAGUGUUCAUAAACAUUCUAUGUAUAUGUUUAUGACUUAGCUAAAUUUU
This 268-nucleotide long non-coding RNA is filed under the name Mytilus galloprovincialis (Mediterranean mussel). The record is from RNAcentral. Lineage: Eukaryota; Metazoa; Mollusca; Bivalvia; Mytilida; Mytilidae.